AUUGAACGCUGGCGGCAUGCUUUACACAUGCAAGUCGAGCGGUAACAGGCCGCAAGGUGCUGACGAGUGGCGCACGGGUGAGUAAUGCAUCGGAACGUGCCCAGCCGUGGGGGAUAACUACUCGAAAGAGUAGCUAAUACCGCAUACGAUCUAUGGAUGAAAGCGGGGGACCGUAAGGCCUCGCGCGAUUGGAGCGGCCGAUGUCAGAUUAGGUAGUUGGUGGGGUAAAGGCUCACCAAGCCAACGAUCUGUAGCUGGUCUGAGAGGACGACCAGCCACACUGGGACUGAGACACGGCCCAGACUCCUACGGGAGGCAGCAGUGGGGAAUUUUGGACAAUGGGCGCAAGCCUGAUCCAGCAAUGCCGCGUGCAGGAAGAAGGCCUUCGGGUUGUAAACUGCUUUUGUACGGGACGAAACGGCUCUGGUUAAUACCCGGGGCUAAUGACGGUACCGGAAGAAUAAGCACCGGCUAACUACGUG
This 482-nucleotide ribosomal RNA is filed under the name uncultured bacterium. RNAcentral's name for it is "partial 16S ribosomal RNA". It matches the Rfam family "Bacterial small subunit ribosomal RNA", at positions 30 to 507 of the family's 1533-position model. The record is from RNAcentral.